UUUCUGCUGAAGCAAACCGGUCCGCCCUCUGGGUGAGCAUCUGGUUUUGUUUUGGCAUAUGCUUAGACUUUGCAGCUGCACUUGACUGUGUGGUGUGAAGGCUGAGCCAUUUACUUUGAGGAAAUCAGAGUGUUUCAAGCAGGCCAUUGCCUUGAAUACACUAGCAUGGAAUAAUAUGAUAUGACUGUGGUUUUAUUUUGUUGGCUUUUAGAAUUAGAGUAAUGGUUAAUAGGGAUAGUUGGGGGCAUUCAUAUUUAACU
RNAcentral lists this ribosomal RNA (260 nucleotides) under uncultured dinoflagellate. RNAcentral's name for it is "partial 18S ribosomal RNA". The stretch from base 102 to 260 matches the Rfam family "Eukaryotic small subunit ribosomal RNA", at positions 743 to 903 of the family's 1831-position model. Lineage: Eukaryota; Dinophyceae. The record is from RNAcentral.